GUAUGAUACAUCAAAUCUGGUAUUUUUGUCUCCAUGUAUGCCUUCCAUUAGGAUCCAUCUCCCUCCACGAAUUCCGCCAAGAGAAAGCCGAGAAAAUCAAGUCAGGAGCCUACUCAAAAGCCACACUCCUGCCGUAACAAAGACAACAUGUAAAGCAAACGUUAUAUCUUGUAUUACUACCUCUGUCUAGAGAAGGAUGUCGCGCGGUCAAUUUUGUGAAAACCCCCCUGACAAAUUGCCGACAUAAUUGUUCAGUCCUCCCUCAUCUUCCUCCUUGCGGGCUCGUGUUCCUCGUAGCACUCGCUCGCCGCAGCUCCGCUCGCACGCACAGAUCCCCGGCGCUGCUCCCCUCGCCCGACGGAUAGAUCCCCGGCGCUGCUCCACCUUCGUUGUCUAGCUCCACCGGGCUGCUCACGCUCCCCGUGCUGCUCCCACUCCUCUGUCCAAGAUUUGAUUUUUCCGUCGAUGGGUUCGUGGUGCGGUGCUAGCGGAGCAGAGGGAAAGGCCAGGAAGAUUGCAUCGCGGCCGCUGCUCCUGCUUCUCUUCGUCCCGCUGCUGGACGCCGGCCGCGCCGACGCGUGGGGCAAGGAUUGAAGUACUCCGCUCCGCCGCGCUGCCCAGAAGGCGGGCCCAUGGUCCCCCACCGCUGGGAUCUCCGCCGCCGGUGACACCCGCGUUUCCUUCCCCGAUGCCCUCUUGGACCAGAUCAGUCGAGAUUGCCAAGAAUUAGAACCUUUCAUUGGCGAGCAAUUGUCUUCUCUGCUUUAUCUGGAGCCAGACAGUGAGCCGGCAACCUUCAACGCCGCCGGCCGACGGCUCUGGUGGGGAGCGCAGGAGAGAAGACCUUCGACGCGGUGAUGGCACACAUCGCCGCGGGUGACUGCCCCUACCGCCCCCGCUGGCUGGACGCCACCAAGGGCAGCCGCGCUCCUCCUCCUCUUGGUCGUCGUCCUCGCUCCGGGUCAAGGACGCGCCCGGCAAGGAGAAGCCACGCGUGCGCUCCGACCGCGUUCUCAUCAUCCACAAGCACGCUGCCCGUCUACUCCCAGCGGCCACCUCCGCCUCGUCCGGCCGAAGAAGGAGGCUCUGGCGUGGACGCCACUGCUGGAUUACGAGCUUACGGCACGAGAGCUCUGCCUCACCGACGACCCGGAGGAGUUUCCGAGCCAAUGCGUGGCAGAGCUGGCGAGCAAAGCCAUCGUCCCUGCCACCGAUGAUGACUACGCCAUGGCGUUGUCCAGGGUGGACUACAAAGGAGGAGGUGGAGCAAGCUCUUGCUCACCAUCAACCUCAACGAGGAGGAGGACGACGGCGGCAACAACGAGGAGUAGGACAACUACGAGGAGUGGGAUGACACCUAGGUGGACAACGGCAACGAGUAGCUAGUUUUUUUUUUUUCAUAUAUUGUAUAAAUUUUGCCGAGAAAAUUGCAUGCGCGAUCCAUAAACUUGGCAGCGAUGUUCACUUUCAUCCAUAAACUCGCGGAUUUGAAAAACGGCUCCUUAAACUCGGCAUGUGGUUCACUUAUAGUCCAAAUUGACGAAUUCGGUCUAAA
Long non-coding RNA from Brachypodium distachyon (stiff brome), 1555 nucleotides. RefSeq lists it as uncharacterized. The transcript has 2 exons. The record is from RefSeq and is a predicted model, not a curated record. NCBI's taxonomy places the organism in Eukaryota, Viridiplantae, Streptophyta, Magnoliopsida, Poales, Poaceae.